ACGCUACCGACUUAAAAUCCGUUGGCUUUAUUGACCGUGAGGGUUCAAGUCCCUCUACCCCCA
This 63-nucleotide transfer RNA is filed under the name Holomitrium trichopodum. RNAcentral describes it as "partial tRNA-Leu". Lineage: Eukaryota; Viridiplantae; Streptophyta; Bryopsida; Dicranales; Dicranaceae. The record is from RNAcentral.